RNAcentral lists this transfer RNA (77 nucleotides) under Candidatus Saccharimonadota bacterium. Its description in RNAcentral is "tRNA-His". It matches the Rfam family "tRNA". From Rfam's summary of the family: Transfer RNA (tRNA) molecules are approximately 80 nucleotides in length. Their secondary structure includes four short double-helical elements and three loops (D, anti-codon, and T loops). Lineage: Bacteria; Candidatus Saccharimonadota. RNAcentral also lists the same sequence under 1 other name. The record is from RNAcentral.
GCGGAUGUAGCUCAGUUGGUUAGAGCGCCAGUUUGUGGCACUGGAGGUCGUGGGUUCGAUUCCCAUCAUUCGCCCCA